Molecule: long non-coding RNA, 599 nt
Filed under: Capsicum annuum
Lineage: Eukaryota; Viridiplantae; Streptophyta; Magnoliopsida; Solanales; Solanaceae
Description: long non-coding RNA (CANN_LNC004526)
Source: RNAcentral
UGUAUUCUUGUAUACUCUUUGCAUGUAUCAGCCUGUAUUUGUCGACUCUCUCUAGAGUGAUCUCACCACUGUACCAAUAGUAUAGACAUCACCAUGUAUACACUGAAUAUAACAUGUAUCAACUUGUAUAUAACAGACUACCUUCGUUGAUACAAUCUGCAUUCGUCCUCUCUAGCCUCUCUCCUCUCUUUUCCAAAUCUUGCUGACAUCUCUCCUCUAUCAGACUGUAUUCAUUGUAUUUCUUCAAAUACAACCUGUAUCUGUCCUCUCUAGCCUCUUUCCCCUCUCUUCUAAAUCUCGCUCGCCUCUCCUCAUCCCUCGCCAAUCGCAAUCUCUCUCGCCUCUCUCCUCUGUAGAACUAUUGUUAUGAAUUAUGAAUACUCAAAAUAUAGCUCAGAUUUAUAAUUAAUGCUCAAAUGAUGGUCAUUUCUGAAAUCUCCUUAUAAAUGUUUACAAAGUGCAUGCAUACAAAUAAAAACCUAAUUUCCAUUUUUUUUCCCUUUUAUUAAAUGGAGAUGAAAUUUCCAUAAUUCUUUUAAAUUAUGAGCCACGGGAAAAUUGAAGGAAACAAGGGAGGAAAUUACAACGUAGAAAUUGAU